AGCAUAUCAAUAAGCGGAGGAAAAGAAACCAACCGGGAUUGCCCUAGUAACGGCGAGUGAAGCGGCAAGAGCUCAAAUUUGAAAGCUGGCUCCUUCGGGGUCCGCAUUGUAAUUUGCAGAGGAUGCUUCGGGAGCGGUCCCCAUCUAAGUGCCCUGGAACGGGCCGUCAUAGAGGGUGAGAAUCCCGUCUGGGAUGGGGUGCCCGCGCCCGUGUGAAGCUCCUUCGACGAGUCGAGUUGUUUGGGAAUGCAGCUCUAAUUGGGUGGUAAAUUUCAUCUAAAGCUAAAUAUUGGCCGGAGACCGAUAGCGCACAAGUAGAGUGAUCGAAAGAUGAAAAGCACUUUGAAAAGAGAGUUAAACAGCACGUGAAAUUGUUGAAAGGGAAGCGCUUGCGAUCAGACUCGCCCGCGGGGUUCAGCCGGCAUUCGUGCCGGUGUACUUCCCCGCGGGCGGGCCAGCGUCGGUUUGGGCGGCCGGUCAAAGGCCCCUGGAAUGUAACGCCUCUCGGGGCGUCUUAUAGCCAGGGGUGCCAUGCGGCCUGCCCGGACCGAGGAACGCGCUUCGGCUCGGACGCUGGCAUAAUGGUCGUAAGCGACCCGUCUUGAAACACGGACCAAGGAGUCUAACAUCUACGCGAGUGUUCGGGUGUCAAACCCGUGCGCGCAGUGAAAGCGAACGGAGGUGGGAACCCUUUGGGUGCACCAUCGACCGAUCCUGAUGUCUUCGGAUGGAUUUGAGUAAGAGCGUAGCUGUUGGGACCCGAAAGAUGGUGAACUAUGCCUGAAUAGGGCGAAGCCAGAGGAAACUCUGGUGGAGGCUCGCAGCGGUUCUGACGUGCAAAUCGAUCGUCAAAUUUGGGUAUAGGGGCGAAAGACUAAUCGAACCAUCUAGUAGCUGGUUCCUGCCGAAGUU
RNAcentral lists this ribosomal RNA (912 nucleotides) under Penicillium gorlenkoanum. Its description in RNAcentral is "LSU rRNA". It matches the Rfam family "Eukaryotic large subunit ribosomal RNA", at positions 37 to 968 of the family's 3401-position model. The record is from RNAcentral. Lineage: Eukaryota; Fungi; Ascomycota; Eurotiomycetes; Eurotiales; Aspergillaceae.